UUGAAGAGUUUGAUCAUGGCUCAGAUUGAACGCUGGCGGCAGGCCUAACACAUGCAAGUCGAGCGGUAGCACAGAGAGCUUGCUCUCGGGUGACGAGCGGCGGACGGGUGAGUAAUGUCUGGGAAACUGCCUGAUGGAGGGGGAUAACUACUGGAAACGGUAGCUAAUACCGCAUAAUGUCGCAAGACCAAAGUGGGGGACCUUCGGGCCUCAUGCCAUCAGAUGUGCCCAGAUGGGAUUAGCUAGUAGGUGGGGUAACGGCUCACCUAGGCGACGAUCCCUAGCUGGUCUGAGAGGAUGACCAGCCACACUGGAACUGAGACACGGUCCAGACUCCUACGGGAGGCAGCAGUGGGGAAUAUUGCACAAUGGGCGCAAGCCUGAUGCAGCCAUGCCGCGUGUGUGAAGAAGGCCUUCGGGUUGUAAAGCACUUUCAGCGGGGAGGAAGGCGUUAAGGUUAAUAACCUUAGCGAUUGACGUUACCCGCAGAAGAAGCACCGGCUAACUCCGUGCCAGCAGCCGCGGUAAUACGGAGGGUGCAAGCGUUAAUCGGAAUUACUGGGCGUAAAGCGCACGCAGGCGGUCUGUCAAGUCGGAUGUGAAAUCCCCGGGCUCAACCUGGGAACUGCAUUCGAAACUGGCAGGCUAGAGUCUUGUAGAGGGGGGUAGAAUUCCAGGUGUAGCGGUGAAAUGCGUAGAGAUCUGGAGGAAUACCGGUGGCGAAGGCGGCCCCCUGGACAAAGACUGACGCUCAGGUGCGAAAGCGUGGGGAGCAAACAGGAUUAGAUACCCUGGUAGUCCACGCCGUAAACGAUGUCGAUUUGGAGGUUGUGCCCUUGAGGCGUGGCUUCCGGAGCUAACGCGUUAAAUCGACCGCCUGGGGAGUACGGCCGCAAGGUUAAAACUCAAAUGAAUUGACGGGGGCCCGCACAAGCGGUGGAGCAUGUGGUUUAAUUCGAUGCAACGCGAAGAACCUUACCUGGUCUUGACAUCCACAGAACUUAGCAGAGAUGCUUUGGUGCCUUCGGGAACUGUGAGACAGGUGCUGCAUGGCUGUCGUCAGCUCGUGUUGUGAAAUGUUGGGUUAAGUCCCGCAACGAGCGCAACCCUUAUCCUUUGUUGCCAGCGGUCCGGCCGGGAACUCAAAGGAGACUGCCAGUGAUAAACUGGAGGAAGGUGGGGAUGACGUCAAGUCAUCAUGGCCCUUACGACCAGGGCUACACACGUGCUACAAUGGCAUAUACAAAGAGAAGCGACCUCGCGAGAGCAAGCGGACCUCAUAAAGUAUGUCGUAGUCCGGAUUGGAGUCUGCAACUCGACUCCAUGAAGUCGGAAUCGCUAGUAAUCGUAGAUCAGAAUGCUACGGUGAAUACGUUCCCGGGCCUUGUACACACCGCCCGUCACACCAUGGGAGUGGGUUGCAAAAGAAGUAGGUAGCUUAACCUUCGGGAGGGCGCUUACCACUUUGUGAUUCAUGACUGGGGUGAAGUCGUAACAAGGUAACCGUAGGGGAACCUGCGGUUGGAUCACCUCCUU
This 1536-nucleotide ribosomal RNA is filed under the name Klebsiella pneumoniae. RNAcentral's name for it is "16S ribosomal RNA". It matches the Rfam family "Bacterial small subunit ribosomal RNA". The record is from RNAcentral. Lineage: Bacteria; Pseudomonadati; Pseudomonadota; Gammaproteobacteria; Enterobacterales; Enterobacteriaceae.